This is a long non-coding RNA of Homo sapiens (human), 2122 nucleotides long. The record is from Ensembl. Lineage: Eukaryota; Metazoa; Chordata; Mammalia; Primates; Hominidae.
AUGACUAUUUUCAAACAAAUUUCCCAUCCAGAAGUGCUCAGCUUCUCAGAGAGCCCCCAUGCCUGGCUUCUUGCUCUGGCCCUCCACCGAGCUGGGACGCAGCUGGAUUGCAAUUCCAUGGCCGUCCACUUCCUGCUGCUCCACGCUGGACUGUGGUCAUCCUCGUGCUAAGGAAGGUCACGGGCUUGUUAAUUAGCUGGAAAGCAAAGACAGACAGGAUACAAAUGUUCCUAGAAAGAAACUAGCAUAGUGUGACGUCAGUACUGUUUUCAACUUUUAGCUGCUACCCUUUCCUGUUUCCUGAGGACAUUUCAACAUGACUUCGAGCACAGUUAAAGUGAACUGCCAAGGUUAAGCGAGCUUUCCUUCCUUACGGAAUCUCCCAGCCCCUAAUUCUAUAAUACUACUCGCUUAGUUUGGCUGUGGUGAAACCCACCUUGUCCUCUACUAAAGAUAUGGAACGAAGACCUCGUCAGUCAAUCUUCCAUGAUCCCGGCCACCGCAAUUGGCUCAGGUCGUUGCUGCCAUGAAGUAAGAGUCUGUCUGGAAAUGAAGGCGAGCAGAGGCCACAAAGCUGAGACAUGGAGACAGAGAGAGUCCUGAUGUUAUUAUUUGAACCAUUGAGUCCAGCUGUGCCUGAAACUCUUCAGUGAGCCAAGAAAUUCCUUUUUGGCUUAAGCCAAUUGGAGUCGUGUUUGUGAUACUUGCAAAUGAAAGGAGUUAUUGACUAAUAAAACUGCCAUUUCUAUCUCUCCAAGAAUUAGGAAAUACUUCUUUAAAACUGUUUAUUUGCAGUAUGCUUUAUUCCUUCCCACAAAAAAGAGGCAGCUUAUAAAAGUAAAUAUGAAAAAUAGGCACAAAGGGUGUAUAAUACAUGAAAUACAUGUGUAUAUGUCUAGCACAGUCUUUAUAUUAAGUUGACAAAAAUUAUUAUUAUUAUUAUUAUUUUUGCAACAGAGUUUCACUCUUGUCACCCAGGCUGGAGUUCAAUGGCAUGAUCUCGGCUCACUGCAACCUCCACCUCCUGGGUUCAAGUGAUUCUCCAGCUUCAGCCUCCCGAGUAGCUGGAAUUACAGGUGCCCGCCACCACCAGCCCAGUUAAUUUUUGUAUUUUUGGUAGAGAUGGGGUUUCACCAUGUAGGCCAGGCUGGUCUUGAAUUCCUGACCUCAGGUGAUCUGCCUACCUUGGCCUCCCAAAGUGCUGGGAUUACAGGCGUAAGUCACUGCACCUGGCCCAAAAAUUAUUUUUUAAGUUACAGUACGAACUACUGCUGAGGGUGCUGGGUAAUUAACAUUGUUGGAGAAAUUAUAAACUGGUGCAAACCUUCUGGAGAUAAAUUUGACAAUGCUUAUUCAUAUCCAUUGUUUGUCUAUAAUCAACCAUUCUUCUUUUAGGAAUGCAUCUGAAAGAAAUAAUUACAUAAAUAAGGAGAUAUGCAAAGAUUUAGCUAUGAGAAUGAUUGUUUAAUCACCAGAAGUUGGAAAACAGCCUGAAUAUCCAAUGACAUAAAAACAAAAUUGGCGGGGCGCGGUGGCUCACGCCUGUAAUCCCAGCACUUUGGGAGGCCGAGGCGGGCGGAUCACAAGGUCAGAGAUCGAGACCAUCCUGGCUAAGACGGUGAAACCCCAUCUCUACUAAAAAUCAAAAAAUUAGCCGGGCCUGGUGGCGGGUGUCUGUAGUCCCAGCUACUUGGGAGGCUGAGGCAGGAGAAUGGCCUGAACCCAGGAGGCGGAGCUGGCAGUGAGCCGAGAUGAUGCCACUGCACUCCAGCCUGGGCGACAGAGAGAGACUCUGUCUCAAAAAAAAAAAAAAAAAAUUAUCUGUCCACCAAUUGGAAUACCAUGUAUUUAUUAAAAUAAUGAUGUGGAAUUUUAUUUACUGACUUGGAACAAUAUUCAUAUAUUGUGAACUGGCUUUGGACUAAUACAUUUAAAUUCUCCCUAGGCUGACUGGGCGCGGUGGUCCGUGCCUGUAAUCCCAGCACUAUGGGAGGCUGAGACGGGUGGAUCACUUGAGAGCAGGAAUUUGAGACCAGCCUGGCCAAGAUGGUGAAACUCCAUCUCUACAAAAAUACAAAAAUUAGCCAGGCAUGGUGGCAUGCACCUGUAAUCCCAGCUACUC